CCAAUACAUAGUUGGGAGGUAAAUGAGGUUUCAUCCCAGUCAAUGGAACAAGAGCCACCCCGAGAACAAUUCAACUUAGGCCGAAUUGCCCCUCGUUCUCUCCUCCCCUGCUUUGUACCAGGCUUGGAAUAGUGUCGGCAUCGGAGCCUAAGACAGUCUCGAGGGGGGUGUUCCCUCUUCCUAGAGUAGGGUCAGGGGAUAUGAUCACUGCUUUAGGGAGGCAUAGGAAGGUAAUAAAGAAAUAUACCAGAAGGAAAGUUGAGGUGACUCCGGUCCAGAUGAUGGGGCUUUCGGAGAUAAGGUCUGUAGAGAACCCAGACUGGAUCAAAGUAUCAGGUCAAGAGGGCUUGCGAAGUAAUGUGAGUAGGAAGAAAAAAUAUUAUGCCCAUGGAGGGGAUUUAAGCUCCAAAGUAGGUGCGGAAGAAGCUGCACUGAAGGGCAGUUG
RNAcentral lists this long non-coding RNA (445 nucleotides) under Zostera marina. Its description in RNAcentral is "long non-coding RNA (ZMAR_LNC005704)". The record is from RNAcentral. Lineage: Eukaryota; Viridiplantae; Streptophyta; Magnoliopsida; Alismatales; Zosteraceae.